This 253-nucleotide ribosomal RNA is filed under the name uncultured bacterium. RNAcentral's name for it is "partial 16S ribosomal RNA". It matches the Rfam family "Bacterial small subunit ribosomal RNA", at positions 524 to 776 of the family's 1533-position model. The record is from RNAcentral.
UACGUAGGGGGCAAGCGUUGUCCGGAUUUAUUGGGCGUAAAGAGCGUGUAGGCGGUUCGGUAGGUCCGUUGUGAAAACUCGAGGCUCAACCUCGAGACGCCGAUGGAAACCAUCGAACUAGAGUCCGGAAGAGGAGAGUGGAAUUCCUGGUGUAGCGGUGAAAUGCGCAGAUAUCAGGAGGAACACCGGUGGCGAAGGCGGGACUCUGGGCCGAUACUGACGCUGAGGAGCGAAAGCUAGGGGAGCAAACGGG